UACGGAGGGGGCAAGCGUUAUUCGGAAUUAUUGGGCGUAAAGGGCGCGUAGGCGGCUAGAUGUGUCAAAGGUGAAAUCCCUCGGCUCAACUGAGGAACUGCCUUUGAAACUGUCUGGCUUGAGGCCGGGAGAGGGUAGCGGAAUUCCCAGUGUAGCGGUGAAAUGCGUAGAUAUUGGGAGGAACACCAGUGGCGAAGGCGGCUACCUGGACCGGUUCUGACGCUGAGGAGCGAAAGCGUGGGGAGCGAACAGG
RNAcentral lists this ribosomal RNA (253 nucleotides) under uncultured bacterium. RNAcentral describes it as "partial 16S ribosomal RNA". It matches the Rfam family "Bacterial small subunit ribosomal RNA", at positions 524 to 776 of the family's 1533-position model. The record is from RNAcentral.